Molecule: ribosomal RNA, 429 nt
Filed under: Fusobacteriota bacterium
Lineage: Bacteria; Fusobacteriati; Fusobacteriota
Description: Fusobacteria bacterium partial 16S ribosomal RNA
Rfam family: Bacterial small subunit ribosomal RNA
Source: RNAcentral
UGGGGAAUAUUGCGCAAUGGGCGAAAGCCUGACGCAGCGACGCCGCGUGAGGGAUGAAGGUUUUCGGAUCGUAAACCUCUGUCAGAAGGGAAGAAACCGCACUGUGCUAAUCAGCAGUGCCUUGACGGUACCUUCAAAGGAAGCACCGGCUAACUCCGUGCCAGCAGCCGCGGUAAUACGGAGGGUGCAAGCGUUAAUCGGAAUUACUGGGCGUAAAGCGCACGUAGGCUGCUUUGUAAGUCAGGGGUGAAAUCCCACGGCUCAACCGUGGAACUGCCUUUGAUACUGCUUAGCUUGAAUCCGGGAGAGGGUGGCGGAAUUCCAGGUGUAGGAGUGAAAUCCGUAGAUAUCUGGAGGAACAUCAGUGGCGAAGGCGGCCACCUGGACCGAUAUUGACGCUGAGGUGCGAAAGCGUGGGGAGCAAACAGG